UGGGGAAUAUUGGACAAUGGGCGCAAGCCUGAUCCAGCCAUGCCGCGUGUGUGAAGAAGGCCUUCGGGUUGUAAAGCACUUUAAGCGAGGAGGAAGGUUCGUUGGCUAAUAUCCAGCGGAAUUGACGUUACUCGCAGAAUAAGCACCGGCUAACUCUGUGCCAGCAGCCGCGGUAAUACAGAGGGUGCAAGCGUUAAUCGGAAUUACUGGGCGUAAAGCGCGCGUAGGCGGUUGUGUAAGUUGGAGGUGA
RNAcentral lists this ribosomal RNA (250 nucleotides) under uncultured bacterium. RNAcentral's name for it is "partial 16S ribosomal RNA". It matches the Rfam family "Bacterial small subunit ribosomal RNA", at positions 355 to 597 of the family's 1533-position model. The record is from RNAcentral.